AAUCAGCUAUCAGGCAGACUUCCUCCUAGCAUGGCUGAUUUAAAUUUUUUGAGUACCUUGAACUUGUCCUAUAAUAAUUUGUCAGGGAGAAUUCCAUUAAGCACCCAACUUCAGAGCUUCAAAGCUUCUUCAUUUUCUAAUAAUCCAGCACUUUGUGGGUUACCUCUUCCACAGAAGUGCCCAGGAGACAAUAUUCAAGAAUCACAAAGCAACAUGAUGGCCAAUACAAU
RNAcentral lists this unclassified non-coding RNA (230 nucleotides) under Hevea brasiliensis (rubber tree). The record is from RNAcentral. Lineage: Eukaryota; Viridiplantae; Streptophyta; Magnoliopsida; Malpighiales; Euphorbiaceae.